This 25-nucleotide unclassified non-coding RNA is filed under the name Mus musculus (house mouse). Its description in RNAcentral is "oocyte_clustered_small_RNA11809". Lineage: Eukaryota; Metazoa; Chordata; Mammalia; Rodentia; Muridae. The record is from RNAcentral.
UGCAGGUCCAGUGUGGUUUAGGUCA